AAAACAACCAGGAGGUUGGCUUAGAAGCAGCCAUCCUUUAAAGAUAGCGUAACAGCUCACUGGUCUAAAUAAGUUGUCCUGCGGCGAAGAUGUAACGGGGCUCAAGCCAUGAGCCGAAGUCUAGGAUGCACGUAGUGCAUGGUAGCAGAGCGUAGUGUGACAUAAUUCCAUGCGUCCUUAGUUCCUUCGGGAACAUUGGACGCAAGGAAUUUUCUGUGAAGCCGGCGUGUGAGCGAUCCGGUGGAGAGAUCACUAGUGAGAAUGAUGACAUGAGUAGCGACAAAGGGAGUGAGAGACUCCCUCGCCGAAAGUCCAAGGGUUCCUGCUUAAAGCUAAUCUGAGCAGGGUAAGCCGACCCCUAAGGCGAGGCCGAAAGGCGUAGUCGAUGGGAACCAGGUUAAUAUUCCUGGGCCAGGAGGAUGUGACGGAUCUCGAAGAUUGUUUCCCCUUAUUGGAUUGGGGAGGCCGUUGAGAGGUUCCUGGAAAUAGCCCUCCAUGAGAUCGUACCCUAAACCGACACAGGUGGACUGGUAGAGAAUACCAAGGCGCUUGAGAGAACCACAUUUAAGGAACUCGGCAAAAUACCUCCGUAAGUUCGCGAGAAGGAGGCCCGUUCAUUAGGCAACUAGUGGGCGGGGGCACAAACCAGGGGGUGGCGACUGUUUACUAAAAACACAGGGCUCUGCGAAGUCGCAAGACGACGUAUAGGGUCUGACGCCUGCCCGGUGCCUGAAGGUUAAAAGGAGGAGUGCAAGCUCCGAAUUGAAGCCCAGGUAAACGGCGGCCGUAACUAUAACGGUCCUAAGGUAGCGAAAUUCCUUGUCGGGUAAGUUCCGACCUGCACGAAUGGCGUAACGACUUCCCCGCUGUCUCAAAUGUGGACUCAGCGAAAUUGAAUUUCCUGUCAAGAUGCAGGAUACCCGCGGUUAGACGGAAAGACCCCAUGCACCUUUACUAUAGCUUCGCAUUGGCAUCAGGCACAGUAUGUGCAGGAUAGGUGGUAGGCUUUGAAACCGGGACGCCAGUCUCGGUGGAGCCUCCCUUGAGAUACCACCCUUAUUCUGCUUGAUGUCUAACCGCGGCCCGUUAUCCGGGUCCGGGACCCUGCGUGGUGGGUAGUUUGACUGGGGCGGUCGCCUCCCAAAUUGUAACGGAGGCGCGCGAAGGUUGGCUCAGAGCGGUCGGAAAUCGCUCGUUGAGUGCAAUGGCAGAAGCCAGCCUGACUGCGAGACUGACAAGUCGAGCAGAGUCGAAAGACGGCCAUAG
This 1266-nucleotide ribosomal RNA is filed under the name museum specimen metagenome. Its description in RNAcentral is "bacterial LSU rRNA". It matches the Rfam family "Bacterial large subunit ribosomal RNA", at positions 1086 to 2415 of the family's 2925-position model. The record is from RNAcentral.